This 465-nucleotide ribosomal RNA is filed under the name Vreelandella stevensii. RNAcentral describes it as "partial 16S ribosomal RNA". It matches the Rfam family "Bacterial small subunit ribosomal RNA", at positions 338 to 795 of the family's 1533-position model. Lineage: Bacteria; Pseudomonadati; Pseudomonadota; Gammaproteobacteria; Oceanospirillales; Halomonadaceae. The record is from RNAcentral.
CCUACGGGAGGCUGCAGUGGGGAAUAUUGGACAAUGGGGGGAACCCUGAUCCAGCCAUGCCGCGUGUGUGAAGAAGGCCCUCGGGUUGUAAAGCACUUUCAGUGAGGAAGAACGCCUGGUGGUUAAUACCCAUCAGGAAAGACAUCACUCACAGAAGAAGCACCGGCUAACUCCGUGCCAGCAGCCGCGGCAAUACGGAGGGUGCGAGCGUUAAUCGGAAUUACUGGGCGUAAAGCGCGCGUAGGUGGCUUGAUAAGCCGGUUGUGAAAGCCCCGGGCUCAACCUGGGAACGGCAUCCGGAACUGUCAAGCUGGAGUGCAGGAGAGGAAGGUAGAAUUCCCGGUGUAGCGGUGAAAUGCGUAGAGAUCGGGAGGAAUACCAGUGGCGAAGGCGGCCUUCUGGACUGACACUGACACUGAGGUGCGAAAGCGUGGGUAGCAAACAGGAUUAGAUACCCCUGUAGUC